CUAAUACAUGCAAGUCGAACGCACAGCGAAAGGUGCUUGCACCUUUCAAGUGAGUGGCGAACGGGUGAGUAACACGUGGACAACCUGCCUCAAGGCUGGGGAUAACAUUUGGAAACAGAUGCUAAUACCGAAUAAAACUUAGUGUCGCAUGACACAAAGUUAAAAGGCGCUUUGGCGUCACCUAGAGAUGGAUCCGCGGUGCAUUAGUUAGUUGGUGGGGUAAAGGCCUACCAAGACAAUGAUGCAUAGCCGAGUUGAGAGACUGAUCGGCCACAUUGGGACUGAGACACGGCCCAAACUCCUACGGGAGGCUGCAGUAGGGAAUCUUCCACAAUGGGCGAAAGCCUGAUGGAGCAACGCCGCGUGUGUGAUGAAGGCUUUCGGGUCGUAAAGCACUGUUGUAUGGGAAGAACAGCUAGAAUAGGGAAUGAUUUUAGUUUGACGGUACCAUACCAGAAAGGGACGGCUAAAUACGUGCCAGCAGCCGCGGUAAUACGUAUGUCCCGAGCGUUAUCCGGAUUUAUUGGGCGUAAAGCGAGCGCAGACGGUUGAUUAAGUCUGAUGUGAAAGCCCGGAGCUCAACUCCGGAAUGGCAUUGGAAACUGGUUAACUUGAGUGCAGUAGAGGUAAGUGGAACUCCAUGUGUAGCGGUGGAAUGCGUAGAUAUAUGGAAGAACACCAGUGGCGAAGGCGGCUUACUGGACUGUAACUGACGUUGAGGCUCGAAAGUGUGGGUAGCAAACAGGAUUAGAUACCCUGGUAGUCCACACCGUAAACGAUGAACACUAGGUGUUAGGAGGUUUCCGCCUCUUAGUGCCGAAGCUAACGCAUUAAGUG
RNAcentral lists this ribosomal RNA (837 nucleotides) under Leuconostoc pseudomesenteroides. RNAcentral describes it as "bacterial SSU rRNA". It matches the Rfam family "Bacterial small subunit ribosomal RNA", at positions 48 to 866 of the family's 1533-position model. The record is from RNAcentral. Lineage: Bacteria; Bacillati; Bacillota; Bacilli; Lactobacillales; Lactobacillaceae.